Long non-coding RNA from Mirounga angustirostris (Northern elephant seal), 399 nucleotides. RefSeq lists it as uncharacterized. The record is from RefSeq and is a predicted model, not a curated record. Lineage: Eukaryota; Metazoa; Chordata; Mammalia; Carnivora; Phocidae. The transcript has 3 exons.
CUCAGAGAGGUCACAAAACUACUAUGCGGCAAAGUCAGGAUUUGAACCCAGGCAGUUGGGCUCAGAAUCCAUGUUUGUUUGUUGCACUCUGCUACUCAUUAAGAUCAAGCUGAGUCUUGAAUGUUUUGGUUUUUAACUACAAACCCCUAAAAGCUACAUUGCAGAUGAGGAAAUUAAAAGGGCAUCUCAAUGGGCUUCUCUGAAUGACAAAGGCCACUUUCUUUGACCUCUGCAACAUCACAGCUCUGCCUGUGUCUUGUUCACAUUUUGGGAUGGUAAUCAACCAUGACGUCUCCUUGCUCCUGGUCUGAAGAAAUAGAGAAACAGACCCAGGAAUCAGGUAGAAAUUAAAAAUAUAUGCUUUCUUAGUGAGGUUUAUUGGAAAAUAUGAUCUACAGC